Molecule: ribosomal RNA, 1353 nt
Filed under: Synechococcus sp. KORDI-52
Lineage: Bacteria; Bacillati; Cyanobacteriota; Cyanophyceae; Synechococcales; Synechococcaceae
Description: bacterial SSU rRNA
Rfam family: Bacterial small subunit ribosomal RNA
Source: RNAcentral
AUGCAAGUCGAACGAACCUUCGGGUUAGUGGCGGACGGGUGAGUAACGCGUGAGAAUCUGCCCUCAGGAGGGGGAUAACGGUUGGAAACGACCGCUAAUACCCCAUAUGCCGCGAGGUGAAAUGAAUUUCGCCUGAGGAUGAGCUCGCGUCUGAUUAGCUAGUUGGUGUAGGUAAUGGCUCACCAAGGCAUCGAUCAGUAGCUGGUCUGAGAGGAUGAUCAGCCACACUGGGACUGAGACACGGCCCAGACUCCUACGGGAGGCAGCAGUGGGGAAUUUUCCGCAAUGGGCGAAAGCCUGACGGAGCAACGCCGCGUGAGGGAUGAAGGCCUCUGGGCUGUAAACCUCUUUUAUCAAGGAAGAAGAUCUGACGGUACUUGAUGAAUAAGCCACGGCUAAUUCCGUGCCAGCAGCCGCGGUAAUACGGGAGUGGCAAGCGUUAUCCGGAAUUAUUGGGCGUAAAGCGUCCGCAGGCGGCCCUUCAAGUCUGCUGUUAAAGCGUGGAGCUUAACUCCAUCAUGGCAGUGGAAACUGUUGGGCUUGAGUGUGGUAGGGGCAGAGGGAAUUCCCGGUGUAGCGGUGAAAUGCGUAGAUAUCGGGAAGAACACCAGUGGCGAAGGCGCUCUGCUGGGCCAUCACUGACGCUCAUGGACGAAAGCCAGGGGAGCGAAAGGGAUUAGAUACCCCUGUAGUCCUGGCCGUAAACGAUGAACACUAGGUGUCGGGGGAAUCGACCCCCUCGGUGUCGUAGCCAACGCGUUAAGUGUUCCGCCUGGGGAGUACGCACGCAAGUGUGAAACUCAAAGGAAUUGACGGGGGCCCGCACAAGCGGUGGAGUAUGUGGUUUAAUUCGAUGCAACGCGAAGAACCUUACCAGGGUUUGACAUCCUGCGAAUCUCUUGGAAACGAGAGAGUGCCUUCGGGAACGCAGUGACAGGUGGUGCAUGGCUGUCGUCAGCUCGUGUCGUGAGAUGUUGGGUUAAGUCCCGCAACGAGCGCAACCCACGUCUUUAGUUGCCAGCAUUCAGUUGGGCACUCUAGAGAGACCGCCGGUGAUAAACCGGAGGAAGGUGUGGAUGACGUCAAGUCAUCAUGCCCCUUACAUCCUGGGCUACACACGUACUACAAUGCUACGGACAAAGGGCAGCAAGUUCGCGAGGACAAGCAAAUCCCAUAAACCGUGGCUCAGUUCAGAUCGUAGGCUGCAACUCGCCUACGUGAAGGAGGAAUCGCUAGUAAUCGCAGGUCAGCAUACUGCGGUGAAUACGUUCCCGGGCCUUGUACACACCGCCCGUCACACCAUGGAAGUUGGCCACGCCCGAAGCCGUUACUCCAACCCUUGUGGAGGAGGAC